UACGGGGGGAGCAAGCGUUGUUCGGAUUUACUGGGCGUAAAGGGCGCGUAGGCGGAUAGAUAAGUUAGAUGUGAAAUCCCUGAGCUUAACUUAGGAACUGCAUUUAAAACUGUUUAUCUAGAGUAUUGUAGAGGAAGGUAGAAUUCCAUGUGUAGCGGUGAAAUGCGUAGAGAUGUGGAGGAAUACCGGUGGCGAAGGCGGCCUUCUGGACAGAUACUGACGCUGAGGUGCGAAAGCGUGGGGAGCAAACAGG
This 253-nucleotide ribosomal RNA is filed under the name uncultured bacterium. RNAcentral's name for it is "partial 16S ribosomal RNA". It matches the Rfam family "Bacterial small subunit ribosomal RNA", at positions 524 to 776 of the family's 1533-position model. The record is from RNAcentral.